UCUGGGAUAAGCGCUGGAAACGGCGUCUAAUACUGGAUACGAGUAGCGGCCGCAUGGUCAGUUACUGGAAAGAUUUAUUGGUUGGGGAUGGGCUCGCGGCCUAUCAGCUUGUUGGUGAGGUAAUGGCUCACCAAGGCGUCGACGGGUAGCCGGCCUGAGAGGGUGACCGGCCACACUGGGACUGAGACACGGCCCAGACUCCUACGGGAGGCAGCAGUGGGGAAUAUUGCACAAUGGGCGCAAGCCUGAUGCAGCAACGCCGCGUGAGGGAUGACGGCCUUCGGGUUGUAAACCUCUUUUAGCAGGGAAGAAGCGAGAGUGACGGUACCUGCAGAAAAAGCACCGGCUAACUACGUGCCAGCAGCCGCGGUAAUACGUAGGGUGCAAGCGUUAUCCGGAAUUAUUGGGCGUAAAGAGCUCGUAGGCGGUUUGUCGCGUCUGCUGUGAAAUCUGGGGGCUCAACCCCCAGCCUGCAGUGGGUACGGGCAGACUAGAGUGCGGUAGGGGAGAUUGGAAUUCCUGGUGUAGCGGUGGAAUGCGCAGAUAUCAGGAGGAACACCGAUGGCGAAGGCAGAUCUCUGGGCCGUAACUGACGCUGAGGAGCGAAAGGGUGGGGAGCAAACAGGCUUAGAUACCCUGGUAGUCCACCCCGUAAACGUUGGGAACUAGUUGUGGGGUCCAUUCCACGGAUUCCGUGACGCAGCUAACGCAUUAAGUUCCCCGCCUGGGGAGUACGGCCGCAAGGCUAAAACUCAAAGGAAUUGACGGGGACCCGCACAAGCGGCGGAGCAUGCGGAUUAAUUCGAUGCAACGCGAAGAACCUUACCAAGGCUUGACAUAUACGAGAA
Molecule: ribosomal RNA, 848 nt
Filed under: Microbacterium foliorum
Lineage: Bacteria; Bacillati; Actinomycetota; Actinomycetes; Micrococcales; Microbacteriaceae
Description: bacterial SSU rRNA
Rfam family: Bacterial small subunit ribosomal RNA
Source: RNAcentral